CCUACGGGAGGCAGCAGUAGGGAAUCUUCCGCAAUGGACGAAAGUCUGACGGAGCAACGCCGCGUGAGCGAUGAAGGCCUUCGGGUCGUAAAGCUCUGUUGUCAGGGAAGAACAAGUACCGGAGUAACUGCCGGUACCUUGACGGUACCUGACCAGAAAGCCACGGCUAACUACGUGCCAGCAGCCGCGGUAAUACGUAGGUGGCAAGCGUUGUCCGGAAUUAUUGGGCGUAAAGCGCGCGCAGGCGGUUCCUUAAGUCUGAUGUGAAAGCCCCCGGCUCAACCGGGGAGGGUCAUUGGAAACUGGGGAACUUGAGUGCAGAAGAGGAGAGCGGAAUUCCACGUGUAGCGGUGAAAUGCGUAGAGAUGUGGAGGAACACCAGUGGCGAAGGCGGCUCUCUGGUCUGUAACUGACGCUGAGGCGCGAAAGCGUGGGGAGCGAACAGGAUUAGAUACCCUGGUAGUCCACGCCGUAAACGAUGGGCACUAGGUGUGGGGGGUAUCCACUCCUCCCGUGCCGUAGCUAACGCAUUAAGUGCCCCGCCUGGGGAGUACGGCCGCAAGGUUAAAACUCAAAGGAAUUGACGG
This 587-nucleotide ribosomal RNA is filed under the name uncultured bacterium. RNAcentral's name for it is "bacterial SSU rRNA". It matches the Rfam family "Bacterial small subunit ribosomal RNA", at positions 338 to 916 of the family's 1533-position model. The record is from RNAcentral.